GAUUCCCCCAAGAUUUCUCUCUCUCUCUCUCUCUCUCUAUACAUCAUUGUAUUUCACUGAAUCUUUGUUCACACUCAGGCGUCAAUCCUCUACAAACUAAUUGCCUCACAUUAUCAGUUCAUGGAGACGGUUCGUGAAUCGGGGAACAGAUACUCAGAAGUGAUUGCACUCCAAGACAUUGCAACAUAUGGUGUGUUUUGUGUGCUUGCAAGUUUUGACAGAACAAAGCUGAAGGCAACUAUACCAUGUCUAUUACUAUUGCAUAGUUCCUAUGUAAUAUUGUAGUUUGAAGUUAUGUUCCUGAUUAGUUUGAUUUAUUUGGCAGAACAAGGCCAUAGACAAUCUCAACUUCCAGAAUUUCUUAGAGUCAGUCCCUGAAGUUAGGGAGCUUACUCACAAUUUUUAUUCAAGCCAUUAUGCUUCAUGUCUGGAUUACCUUGGGGAUUUGAAAACAACCCUGCUGCUUGGUAUCCAUUUGCACGACCAUGUCAUGACACUGUAUGAAGAGGUCCGUCACAAAGUCCUUAUCCGGUAUACUCACCCAUUUGUGGCAGUUGAUCUUCAGAUGAUGGCUAAUGCUUUCAAAACAAGCGUUGCAGGUCUUGAGAAAGAGCUUGAAGCUCUAAUUACUGACAACCAAAUACAGGUACUUUCUCAAGUUUCGAUUGAUUAAUCCCCUUUAUCGUAUGUUUUAGAGCACCUCCAAUGCUUUAAUACCUGAAUGACCAGUGCUAUUGGAUUACUAGAUAUUACUGUAUUGUAUAAGUUCGGGUCGUCACAGAAGUACUCUUUUUCGAAGCCUUUAUCAUCAACUAUUUUCUUAAAAUGGAUAUUUUUUCUUUUAGUUGCAUAAAAAACAAUUGUAGUUGUAUAUGAGGGUUAAUUUUAUAAGUGGAUAGAGAAAUAAUUUUUGCACUUCACUUUCUUAUAAAUGUGCUCCGGAAUUUAAUUGAUGCAUUAAUCCACACUAAAAGACAAAUUUUAGAGAGCAUUGAUAAAAUAGUGGAUUGUAAAAAUUAUUUCCUAAGCUUAUGUAUACAUAUAUACUAGCAUUGUUCACUAAAAAGCACUGAGCACUUCUAUCGAACCAUAGGAAUUUGGCAAUGUGAUCUUCAUCCUAUGCAUGGAAUAGUAUCCAUUCAAAUGACAUUGAGCAUACAACUAUGAGACUUGGAUUUGUAUCAAAGCCUCUAUUUGUGGACCUAAAUGCCCAUUGAUUUUGUUGAUUUGGUACUCUUUGCGCUAGCCACUUGAAUAAGUGUGGGCAACAUCAAGAAAAUAGAGAAAGAUUUUAGGGUCUAUGCAAUAGAACCAAAAAACAAACAGAGAAAAAAAGUGAGGAAUGGGUGGGGUAGGGAAAAUGAAAACAGGACAUAUGGUUUAAACUUCACAAACAACCAUAGCCUUGCAACCCAAGUAUGCAGGCUCGGCCCUAGGGCAAGGCCCAAGUGGCUGCCGCCUAGGACCGCCAAAUUUUGGACGCAAAAAGCGGCCCUCAUUUUGGAUAAUUAUAAAUGAAGGAGGUUUUGUUGGUAGCUAUCAACACAGUGUGUUUUGGUUCGAAUCUGUGCUUGCACUUUUUUACCUUUCUAUUUCUUGGCAUUGCCAGUUGAAAUGUGUUAUUACGAAGUCUUGAUAUGCAAACCUAACAAUACACGAGUCAAAUAUAGCUAUCUACAUCACCAUGUUUCAUAAUCUCUCUGGAUUCCAACUGCCAAAAACUCUAUAAUUAGUAAGGCUUUCUCUAUGUAAACUUCAGACACGAAUUUUUUAUUCACCCGGUUCUUUAUCAUCACAUAGAGUUGCCUUUUCAUCAUCAUGAUUGCUCAUCUCUUCAUUCUUUUGUUUGUCCUUUCCUCGGUUGCCAUUGAGAAAACAAAGGGGUGCCAACACUCUUGCCUGCAGUGGCCACACUUCCGGCCUUGGCUGUGGCAACAAAUGCAAUGACGCUUGAUGAUCUCAACAAACCAUUGUCGGAUUUCAUUGGUGUUCACGAUGAUGAGAAGCCAUAAACAACCGCGCCAGACAGCCAUGGCUUGCACGAUUGGGAGGACAAAGAAACCACUCCGCCUAAUCACGGGAAGACAAAAACACAAAUUCUCCAUAUACGCCUGAUCCUUAUGUCCAUGGCUCGGCAACAACCAUAUAAAAGAAUGGUUCACGGCCCUUUACUUGCUCUGUCUGUUCUUUACUUAAAAGGUGGUGGUGGUUAAAAGAAUUGUGGUUUUCAAGACUAUACAUACAACUUCGGGGAUGCGAAUUCCAACACCGAUGAUGGCAGCCUUCGGCCUAGCCCCUUGUCGCUGUACUGCGAAACUUUGUUUGGCAAGCCGUCUGGAAGAGUUUCUUUUUUUUUUUUUUUUUCCUUUUUUAUAUAUCCUGUCUGGAAGGGUUCCUGAUAGUCGUCUAAUCAUUGAUUUUGUAGGUAAGCAACUAACUAUGUCCCUAUUUCUCUGUUGUUUCUGGAUAGAACUUAUUUAUACUUUCGAUGCACUCCCAAUCAGACAAUAUAACAUGUUUGUCGAAAUUGUGCCUCGAAA
Molecule: long non-coding RNA, 2540 nt
Organism: Rhododendron vialii
Lineage: Eukaryota; Viridiplantae; Streptophyta; Magnoliopsida; Ericales; Ericaceae
Exons: 3
Source: RefSeq, a predicted model, not a curated record